CAAAAAAACAAACCCUGGUUUCCGUGUCCAAUGUUUGACCGUCCGUUUUAUUUAAAAAAAUUAUGAAAAAAAUUAAAAAGACAAGUCACGUAUAAAAUAUUAAUCAUGUUUUAUCAUCUAACAAUAAUAAAAAUAUAAAUUAUAUAAAAAAAUCAUAUAAAACGGAUAGUCAAAGAUAGACAUUAAAACUCAGAGUUUAACUUUUU
Oryza sativa Japonica Group (Japanese rice) is the source of this 206-nucleotide microRNA precursor. It matches the Rfam family "MIR812 microRNA precursor family". The record is from Rfam. NCBI's taxonomy places the organism in Eukaryota, Viridiplantae, Streptophyta, Magnoliopsida, Poales, Poaceae.